AUGAAGCUGGAUUCGCUAGUAAUCGCGCAUCAGCCACGGCGCGGUGAAUACGUUCCCGGGCCUUGUACACACCGCCCGUCAAGCCAUGGAAGCCGGGAGUGCCUGAAGUGCGUGACCGCAAGGAGCGUCCUAAGGCAAUACCGGUGACUGGGGCUAAGUCGUAACAAGGUAUC
Molecule: ribosomal RNA, 173 nt
Filed under: uncultured bacterium
Lineage: Bacteria
Description: partial 16S ribosomal RNA
Rfam family: Bacterial small subunit ribosomal RNA
Source: RNAcentral